AGUUUGAUCCUGGCUCAGGAUGAACGCUGGCGGCGUGCCUAAUACAUGCAAGUCGAGCGAAUCUAAGGGAGCUUGCUCCCGACAGAUUAGCGGCGGACGGGUGAGUAACACGUGGGCAACCUACCUGUAAGACUGGGAUAACUUCGGGAAACCGGAGCUAAUACCGGAUAACAUAUGAGUCCACAUGGUCUCAUAUUAAAAGAUGGCUUCUCGCUAUCACUUAUGGAUGGGCCCGCGGCGCAUUAGCUAGUUGGUGAGGUAACGGCUCACCAAGGCAACGAUGCGUAGCCGACCUGAGAGGGUGAUCGGCCACACUGGGACUGAGACACGGCCCAGACUCCUACGGGAGGCAGCAGUAGGGAAUCUUCCGCAAUGGACGAAAGUCUGACGGAGCAACGCCGCGUGAGCAAGAAGGUCUUCGGAUCGUAAAGCUCUGUUGUUAGGGAAGAACAAGUAUCGUUCGAAUAGGGCGGUACCUUGACGGUACCUAACCAGAAAGCCACGGCUAACUACGUGCCAGCAGCCGCGGUAAUACGUAGGUGGCAAGCGUUAUCCGGAAUUAUUGGGCGUAAAGCGCGCGCAGGCGGUCCUUUAAGUCUGAUGUGAAAGCCCACGGCUCAACCGUGGAGGGUCAUUGGAAACUGGGGGACUUGAGUGCAGAAGAGGAGAGCGGAAUUCCACGUGUAGCGGUGAAAUGCGUAGAGAUGUGGAGGAACACCAGUGGCGAAGGCGGCUCUCUGGUCUGUAACUGACGCUGAGGCGCGAAAGCGUGGGAGCAAACAGGAUUAGAUACCCUGGUAGUCCACGCCGUAAACGAUGGGUGCUAGGUGUGGGGGGCGACAAUCCUCCGUGCCGCAGUUAACGCAAUAAGCACUCCGCCUGGGGAGUACGGCCGCAAGGUAAAACUCAAAGGAAUUGACGGGGGCCCGCACAAGCAGUGGAGCGUGUGGUUUAAUUCGAGGCAACGCGCAGAACCUUACCAGGGUUUGACAUCAUACCGACGUCUGUAGAAACACAGAUUUCCGCUUAGGCGGACGGUAUGACAGGUGUUGCAUGGUUGUCGUCAGCUCGUGUCGUGAGAUGUUGGGUUAAGUCCCGCAACGAGCGCAACCCCUAUCCAAUGUUGCCAACAGGUAAAGCUGGGGACUCAUUGGAGACUGCCGGAGACGAUCUGGAGGAAGGUGGGGAUGAGGUCAAAUCAUCAUGGCCCUUAAGCCCUGGGCUACACACGCGCUACAAUGGCCGGUACAACGGGCAGCGAAGGAGCGAUCCGGAGCGAAUCCCAAAAAGCCGGCCCCAGUUGGAAUCGCAGGCUGCAACUCGCCUGCGUGAACAUGGAAUUGCUAGUAAUCGCGAAUCAGCUACGUCGCGGUGAAUACGUUCCCGGGCCUUGUACACACCGCCCGUCAAGCCAUGGAAGCUGGCAACACCCGAAGUCAGUGACCCAACCUGCAAAGGAGGGAGCUGCCGAAGGUGGGGCUGGUGACUGGGGCUAAGUCGUAACAAGGUAACC
This 1513-nucleotide ribosomal RNA is filed under the name uncultured bacterium. RNAcentral describes it as "partial 16S ribosomal RNA". It matches the Rfam family "Bacterial small subunit ribosomal RNA". The record is from RNAcentral.